RNAcentral lists this ribosomal RNA (831 nucleotides) under Shigella sonnei. RNAcentral's name for it is "partial 23S ribosomal RNA". It matches the Rfam family "Bacterial large subunit ribosomal RNA", at positions 474 to 1304 of the family's 2925-position model. Lineage: Bacteria; Pseudomonadati; Pseudomonadota; Gammaproteobacteria; Enterobacterales; Enterobacteriaceae. The record is from RNAcentral.
UCCUGACUGACCGAUAGUGAACCAGUACCGUGAGGGAAAGGCGAAAAGAACCCCGGCGAGGGGAGUGAAAAAGAACCUGAAACCGUGUACGUACAAGCAGUGGGAGCACGCUUAGGCGUGUGACUGCGUACCUUUUGUAUAAUGGGUCAGCGACUUAUAUUCUGUAGCAAGGUUAACCGAAUAGGGGAGCCGAAGGGAAACCGAGUCUUAACUGGGCGUUAAGUUGCAGGGUAUAGACCCGAAACCCGGUGAUCUAGCCAUGGGCAGGUUGAAGGUUGGGUAACACUAACUGGAGGACCGAACCGACUAAUGUUGAAAAAUUAGCGGAUGACUUGUGGCUGGGGGUGAAAGGCCAAUCAAACCGGGAGAUAGCUGGUUCUCCCCGAAAGCUAUUUAGGUAGCGCCUCGUGAAUUCAUCUCCGGGGGUAGAGCACUGUUUCGGCAAGGGGGUCAUCCCGACUUACCAACCCGAUGCAAACUGCGAAUACCGGAGAAUGUUAUCACGGGAGACACACGGCGGGUGCUAACGUCCGUCGUGAAGAGGGAAACAACCCAGACCGCCAGCUAAGGUCCCAAAGUCAUGGUUAAGUGGGAAACGAUGUGGGAAGGCCCAGACAGCCAGGAUGUUGGCUUAGAAGCAGCCAUCAUUUAAAGAAAGCGUAAUAGCUCACUGGUCGAGUCGGCCUGCGCGGAAGAUGUAACGGGGCUAAACCAUGCACCGAAGCUGCGGCAGCGACGCUUAUGCGUUGUUGGGUAGGGGAGCGUUCUGUAAGCCUGCGAAGGUGUGCUGUGAGGCAUGCUGGAGGUAUCAGAAGUGCGAAUGCUGACAUA